This is a long non-coding RNA of Erinaceus europaeus (western European hedgehog), 317 nucleotides long. RefSeq lists it as uncharacterized. Lineage: Eukaryota; Metazoa; Chordata; Mammalia; Eulipotyphla; Erinaceidae. The record is from RefSeq and is a predicted model, not a curated record. The transcript is spliced from 2 exons.
GUCGCCAGGAUGCGCUGCACCGUCUGCAGGACGCUGGUCGCCAUGGUGACGUCGCCGCAGACGAACAUGUGACCUCGCUCCAGGCACAGCACGCGGUGCACCUCGGCGGCCAGCUCGGUCCGCAGGAUGUCCUGCACGACAGAGAAACUGAGAGAGGAGUGGCUCGGGAAGUGUUGCCAUGGAUAAAGCACUGGACUCUCAAGCAUGGCGUCCCAAGUUCAGUUUCCAGCAGCACAUGUACCAGAGUGAUGUCUGGUUCUUUCUCUGUUCCUACCUUUAUUGUUAAUGAAAUAAAUAAAAUUUUAAAAGAAAAAGAA